AUGGUGUACUCCUCCUGUUUGAAUCGGAGUUUGAAACCAAACAAACUUCUCCUCAGGAGGAUAGAUGGGGCGAUUCAGGUGAGAUCCCAUGUAGAUCUAACUUUCUAUUCACUCGUGGGAUCCGGGCGGUCCGGGGGGGGGGGCACCACGGCUCCUCUCUUCUCGAGAAUCCAUACAUCCCUUAUCAGUGUAUGGAGAGCUAUCUCUCGAGCACAGGUUGAGGUUCGUCCUCAAUGGGAAAAUGGAGCACCUAAAAUUCGUUCCUCUAGCAGUUCCAGUUUGAGCAUUCCGUUCCCUUUUUCAAACUCCACUUCUUUUCAUAUAGCAAUCCCUGAUCAAAGAGAGAACAAUAUCCAUUUCAAAACAUUUCUAACAGAUUCCUUAGUUCGGACCGACGAAGUAAUGUCACUCGACUAA
Molecule: ribosomal RNA, 417 nt
Filed under: Triticum aestivum (bread wheat)
Lineage: Eukaryota; Viridiplantae; Streptophyta; Magnoliopsida; Poales; Poaceae
Description: partial small subunit ribosomal RNA
Source: RNAcentral